GGUAUAGACCCGAAACCCGGUGAUCUAGCCAUGGGCAGGUUGAAGGUUGGGUAACACUAACUGGAGGACCGAACCGACUAAUGUUGAAAAAUUAGCGGAUGACUUGUGGCUGGGGGUGAAAGGCCAAUCAAACCGGGAGAUAGCUGGUUCUCCCCGAAAGCUAUUUAGGUAGCGCCUCGUGAACUCAUCUUCGGGGGUAGAGCACUGUUUCGACUAGGGGGUCAUCCCGACUUACCAACUCGAUGCAAACUACGAAUACCGAAGAAUGUUAUCACGGGAGACACACGGCGGGUGCUAACGUCCGUCGUGAAGAGGGAAACAACCCAGACCGCCAGCUAAGGUCCCAAAGUCAUAGUUAAGUGGGAAACGAUGUGGGAAGGCAUAGACAGCCAGGAUGUUGGCUUAGAAGCAGCCAUCAUUUAAAGAAAGCGUAAUAGCUCACUGGUCGAGUCGGCCUGCGCGGAAGAUGUAACGGGGCUAAACUAUGCACCGAAGCUGCGGCAGCGACAC
RNAcentral lists this ribosomal RNA (510 nucleotides) under Hafnia paralvei. Its description in RNAcentral is "partial 23S ribosomal RNA". It matches the Rfam family "Bacterial large subunit ribosomal RNA", at positions 706 to 1214 of the family's 2925-position model. The record is from RNAcentral. Lineage: Bacteria; Pseudomonadati; Pseudomonadota; Gammaproteobacteria; Enterobacterales; Hafniaceae.